This 123-nucleotide small nucleolar RNA is filed under the name Jaculus jaculus (lesser Egyptian jerboa). RNAcentral's name for it is "Small nucleolar RNA SNORA32 (ENSJJAG00000004526.1)". It matches the Rfam family "Small nucleolar RNA SNORA32". From Rfam's summary of the family: ACA32 is a member of the H/ACA class of snoRNA that guide the sites of modification of uridines to pseudouridines. The record is from Rfam by way of RNAcentral. Lineage: Eukaryota; Metazoa; Chordata; Mammalia; Rodentia; Dipodidae.
UGGUCUUUACCAAGGUUUUUAGAAUGCAGUUUCUCAUUUGCUGUGGACAUGACUGUUAAAAAAAAAUCCCCACUAGGUUUUAUAUAUGCUAUUUGGCUAGCAGUCAAUCUAUUGGGAACAUUU